Molecule: long non-coding RNA, 1122 nt
Organism: Raphanus sativus (radish)
Lineage: Eukaryota; Viridiplantae; Streptophyta; Magnoliopsida; Brassicales; Brassicaceae
Exons: 2
Source: RefSeq, a predicted model, not a curated record
CUACGGAUCAGUCCGUAAAUAAGCAAUUGAAGGACCUGAUCCUUAGAACACGUGGCGUUAGGAGAUUGGAUUUCGUUUUGUAAAAAGAAAAUUUAUUCUCUCUCCUCCGGGAGCUUGAGUCUGCAAGAAAAAAAAAUCAUUCUCUUUCCAGGCUGAUUGAUUUCGUCAUCGUUUAUUAAUUUUAUUUGUGUUUGAUUUGUAUUUCGUUAUCUGUUCUCGAUGUUGAUUUACAGAUGUCUUUAGCGACGGAACAAGACACAGGGAUGUUAAAGGUCCAGCAAACCAUCGGAAGCAUCCUGUGCUGCAAGUGCGGCGUCCCCAUUGAAAAGUUUGCUGCUAAAUCAGAUUCAGUCGCAGCUCCUGUUACCAUUGAAGAGCCUGCAAGUGAAGAGAUUGCUUAACUUGAAUCUGAAAACGUCUGCAAACACUCCCUUGAAGUCUCGCAUUGUUGAUGAGAUUAGAGAGGUCUGUCUGUCUGAUUAGAGAGGUCUGUCUGUCUAUUUCCACUAAUCUUUUUCGUUUUAGCUCUGGUCCGGAAGUUUAUAGGAAAGGAAACGUUUCUUACUCUGUUUUCACCUAAAGUCGGUAACUUUUAUCAACCGUUUCAUUCAUCUUUGAGAUUCUGUUGGUUUCAGUUAGCUCAAGGAGUUCUGGUUCCGUUUACAUAUCUCAACUUUCGGGUUUAAUCUUGGUCUCUUAGUCUGUGAUGAACUGUGUUUGUAGCUAAAGUUUCUUUUUUUUAAACCUGUUGUUAUAUUCUCUGAUUGUUGGAAGGGAUCAUGCUGGUGGCAACGAGAAGAUGAAGCAGUUGGUGCCUGGAAUCUUUUUAUUCACUUGUUCCUUCCCUAACAGGAGCCUACGUAGAUCAUCCUUCACGUCACUCACCCUAAGCUGCUUCUUUAUCGGUUCACUGAAUCGCUCCACCAAGUCAGCCACAUUGCUAGAUAAUGGAUGCAAAAGGAGAGAACUCAUUAGCAUUGUUUCCAGCCAAGUUUCGUGAGAGCAUGUGGAUCAGACGAGGUAACCUUUACUUGUUGUUGUCAAACAAAGUUACUUGGGACUUCUCUCAGACUUGUUUAAACAUAAGAAAUGAAUAUUAAAUCAUUGCUUAGUGUUGUAUCU